UAGGGAAUCUUCCGCAAUGGGCGAAAGCCUGACGGAGCAACGCCGCGUGAGUGAUGAAGGUCUUCGGAUCGUAAAACUCUGUUAUUAGGGAAGAACAAAUGUGUAAGUAACUAUGCACGUCUUGACGGUACCUAAUCAGAAAGCCACGGCUAACUACGUGCCAGCAGCCGCGGUAAUACGUAGGUGGCAAGCGUUAUCCGGAAUUAUUGGGCGUAAAGCGCGCGUAGGCGGUUUUUUAAGUCUGAUGUGAAAGCCCACGGCUCAACCGUGGAGGGUCAUUGGAAACUGGAAAACUUGGGUGCAGAAGAGGAAAGUGGAAUUCCAUGUGUAGCGGUGAAAUGCGCAGAGAUAUGGAGGAACACCAGUGGCGAAGGCGACUUUCUGGUCUGUAACUGACGCUGAUGUGCGAAAGCGGGGGGAUCAAACAGG
This 429-nucleotide ribosomal RNA is filed under the name Actinomycetes bacterium. Its description in RNAcentral is "Actinobacteria bacterium partial 16S ribosomal RNA". It matches the Rfam family "Bacterial small subunit ribosomal RNA", at positions 355 to 776 of the family's 1533-position model. The record is from RNAcentral. Lineage: Bacteria; Bacillati; Actinomycetota; Actinomycetes.